This is a long non-coding RNA of Mauremys mutica (yellowpond turtle), 729 nucleotides long. RefSeq lists it as uncharacterized. The transcript has 3 exons. The record is from RefSeq and is a predicted model, not a curated record. NCBI's taxonomy places the organism in Eukaryota, Metazoa, Chordata, Testudines, Geoemydidae.
GUCAGGGAAGGGAGUAGAUGAUCUCAGACUGCUCUAGAGCCUGAAGUAGCAGCCACACUGUGCCCUGCCUGAGGAUGACCUGGGAGAAGAUUUGCUGGGAGUGCUGCUUGCUGUUUAUCUUCAGGAGAUGGAGGAUGAUCCUGAGCUGCAGUGUGGGGAAUGCAGCUCUUAUUUGAAUCCUGACACCAACUGUUGCCUGAAGACACAGUGAGACUUUCACUUUUAUCUGUAUUUCACCCACUGACAAUAUUAGUCAUGCCUCUAUAGAACUGUCAAGUCUGGAUGUGUCCCCAGCUGCUUCUCUGAAUCACAGGAACUGCAUGCUGCACAGACUUACCUGCCAAGGGAAGCAGAUUCACCAUUUCCUGUGUAUCGUCAGCACCUUCACAGAAUACAGUUGUGCCCAGUUCUGUUCUAGCAAGAACUUCUGCUGCUCCUCCUCUGGAUAAAGUCUGUCUGUUUUAGGGGUUUCUGCUGGUUAUGGGGCUGCCAUCAAUAGUGCCAAGAUAUCAAAAAGGAGUCUUGGUCACUAACCAUCUCCUACAACAUGAAAUCCUAUCUGAAGAGACCUCCAUUACUUCAGAAUGUACAUGAGUUCAUAAAAAUAAUCAUCACCGGGUCUCUCCCUGUUCAUAUGAUACAGCUGGUGUGCAUGUAAAACUUACACGGGACUUAUCAAGUACACCGACAGCCACCUUUAACGAGGAAAACAACACAAAAGAACCCAAA